UUAAAAAUUGAUAACAUAAGGGAAAAUAAUGAUAUUACCUUAUUAUUAGUGUCGUCCAAAACUGGUGCCAGAAGACUCGGUAAGGCCAGAGACACAAACGUUAAUCGUCUUAAUCAGGCGUAAAGGGUUUGUAGGCGGCUUUUAAUUUACUUAUAAAAUUUUUAAAAAUAUAAAUAAGUUAAUAAUAAAAGCUAGAAUCAAAUAGAGGAUAUAUCAAAGAAUGCUUAGAGUAGGUCUGAUAUCCAUAGAUACUAAGUAGAAUAUUAAAGGCGAAAGCUUUUUUCCAUAAAUGAUUGACGCUCAGAAACGAAGGUGAGGAUAGGAAAUAGGAUUAGAUACCCAAAAUACCCCUCUCUGUCAACGAUGAAUGGUAAUUAUUAAUAAAAAAAUUAUUAUUAAUGAUAAUGUUAACACGAUAACCAUUCCGCCUUGUGAGUACAACUGCAAAGUUGAAAACAAAAAAAUUAGUCGGUUUCGGAGCAAACGAAGUGAAGCAUGUUAUUUAUCGAAAAAAACCCCGCAAAA
RNAcentral lists this ribosomal RNA (525 nucleotides) under Russula aureoviridis. RNAcentral describes it as "partial small subunit ribosomal RNA". It matches the Rfam family "Bacterial small subunit ribosomal RNA", at positions 423 to 969 of the family's 1533-position model. The record is from RNAcentral. Lineage: Eukaryota; Fungi; Basidiomycota; Agaricomycetes; Russulales; Russulaceae.